Molecule: small RNA, 153 nt
Filed under: Pan troglodytes (chimpanzee)
Lineage: Eukaryota; Metazoa; Chordata; Mammalia; Primates; Hominidae
Description: processed transcript
Source: RNAcentral
GAAGUCGGUGUUUGGAGAAAGGGACUCAGAUUUAAUGAGUUAAUCUCACUUGGUGAAUAUGAAAAGGCAGCUUGUUAUGCAGCAAACAGUCCUAGAAGAAUUCUUCGAAACAUUGGUACAAUGAAUACAUUUAAGGUUGAGACGGGGUUUCCC